This 3183-nucleotide unclassified non-coding RNA is filed under the name Neodiprion lecontei (redheaded pine sawfly). RNAcentral's name for it is "rNA-binding protein fusilli, transcript variant X2". Lineage: Eukaryota; Metazoa; Arthropoda; Insecta; Hymenoptera; Diprionidae. The record is from RNAcentral.
UCGGCGCACGGAGUUGAAUAUCUGCGCACCUGGAUAAUAAAGCGAGGUUCGCCAGCAGGCAAGCAGGCCGGGCCAGUCAGGCAGGCGGGCAGGCGGGCAGGCAGAGGCGGCCACCUUUCCUUUCCCUUCGCUUACCUGCCUGGCAUUUUCACUGCGGGACAGCGGCAGCAGCUCGAGCCGAAAUCGCGUCGCCGCGCGCAACCGACGAACGCCGUACGAAUAAGUACAUCCUUCGAAGAACAAGAUAUUGUUGUACGCGUAAAGCGUACCUGCGCAGGUACGCGGUAUUAUAUAUAUAUGUGUGUAUAUACAGAGACGCAUAUAUAUAUAUGUAUAUAUGUAUAAAGAGAAAGAGACGUACUACUACCUGUGUUCGAAUUGUAUUUUAUUAAUGUACCUACGACCGCGUGCGGGACACGAUUUUACCGAUAUCCGAAAUCUUUUUUCAAUCGGUACGCGAACCGAGUUGGAAUACCUAUAAUUCAACCAAGAGUGAACAGUGAAACGAUUACAUCGGUGCAGUGGUGUCUCUUUGCUGCUGUUUACGGGUAUUUUACGUUAUGAAAUUACUUCGUACAUGUUUAUAACGAUACGCUAUAACCGUCUGAUAUACAGGUAGAGAAGAAUUACGGACGAACGGUUCCGCCGUUCACGGGUCCGGUGAUUUCGAACGGUGUUCAAUAAUCGUGAUACUAACGAAUCAGGGAUAUAAAUCGACCGAUCAAGCUCGAGCGAUACUCGCGGUACGCGUGUGGGAAUAAAUUGAUAUUGUGAAACUGUAAUAACCACAGGUGAGAAGAAGAAAACAGCGUUGUUGGGAAGUGUUGCGUAUAACCUAACAACCACCGAAUUGAAGUACUCGACACCUGGUCUGCCUUUACACAGUGCGCGAGGCAGGUAUAUCUUCGUACAUAACCUUAAAUCGGAGACCGACUUCGAUUACGACGUGAUAUUAUGACGCCGUCUUGCCGUAUAUUGUGAAUUAUUCAGUGUUGAAAGUGCAGCCCGUUGGAUUAGGAUUCCGUUAUAAGAUUGGCUCUCUCUUUCUCUCCCUUCCUCUCUUCCUCCACCCUCGGCCCGCAUUCUCUUGUCAAAUACCAAACACAUAUGCAUUUGCCGACAACUUCCCACCACUUGUCACACUCCUAAUCCUGUAUUUUAAAAUUGGUGAGGGUGGUGCUAGUGUUGUUCUUUCACCGUGGUUACGGGCUGAUUCUGAUAUAGACGACCGGAAAUGCAGAUGAUGGCCGGAAGAGGGCCGACGCACCUGGUCGCCCUUUACGUGGCCACUGCCGGACAACAAGGAAACGCGCUCGGAUCCGACGAGGAGGAAAUCACGCUCCUCGUUUACGUCCUUAUCGACGCUCUCCAAAACAAGGUUAUGGGGAGGCAGCAGUACAUCGUUCGGCCCAUGGUGAUGGACAGCGGGGGCGUUGGAGUCACGGGCGAUAAUGGCGUGCAGGUUGCCGGUAGCAGCGGCGUCAUAAGCGAGACGGCCCUUGCUCAUGCACCAACCCUCACAGAGUCUAACCUCCGAGAACGCGGAAUCCCCUUGCACCAAGCCAUCAGACAGUUCGAGGGCUGGUGGUCGUCGUUGACGUGUGUCGCGGCCGGUAGUUCACCCCGCUUUGUAGUGGACGGACAGGCGCCUUUGCGGCAAUGCCUUCAUCCAGAAGCCUGCAACAAGGACUUCGACCUUCCCCCGCACUACACCGUCUUCCAUGACCUGCGCAAGGAGUUUGCCACUUGUUACUCAUCCCAGGAAGACCUUGCAGCCCUCAGUAUACAGGAUAUGCUACAAUACUUUGGCCUGACACCGGACACGGAGAAUGAUUACCAUGUGAAGGAGGUUCAAGAUAUGGUGACUAUCAUUCAGAGGAUGAUUAAAGAUGGUCACACAUUUCUGAAUCCUGAAGUGGUCAAUCUUGUCCUGGAACCAGGCAUAUGUUCAAAAGACGAAGAGGUCGAUAAUAAUUGUGUUGUGAGAGCACGCGGCUUACCUUGGCAGUCCUCGGAUCAGGACAUUGCCAAAUUCUUCAGAGGGCUUAAUGUUGCCAAAGGCGGUGUUGCCCUGUGUUUGAGCGCACAGGGUAGGCGUAACGGGGAGGCAUUGGUGCGCCUAGUAAGCAAGGAGCACAGAGACAUGGCGCUCAAAAGGCACAAACACCACAUUGGGGCCAGAUAUAUUGAGGUAUACAAGGCUUCGGGUGAAGACUUUGUUGGUGUGGCAGGUGGUGCUAGCGGUGAAGCACACGCAUUUCUUUCACGCGGAGCCCAAGUUAUAGUUAGAAUGAGAGGGCUGCCCUAUGAUUGUACAGCCAAGCAAGUUUUGGAGUUUUUCCUAGCUGGCGAAAAUUCGUGUCAGGUACUAGACGGUGAGGAAGGUGUGCUAUUUGUGAAAAAACCUGAUGGAAGGGCGACUGGCGAUGCAUUUGUACUUUUUGCCAAAGAAGAAGAUGCCUCGAAGGCUCUCAGUAAACAUCGGGAUCUGAUCGGUAGCCGAUAUAUCGAACUCUUUCGAAGCACGACAGCCGAGGUUCAACAGGUACUGAAUAGAUCAAUGGAUCCAAAGACGUACGAGGCCCCAGCACCACUAUUGGCGACAAUUCCACAAGUCCCUCUUCUUCCGCAACACAUAAUCACCUCUGGAACACGUAAAGAUUGCGUGCGUCUGCGUGGUCUCCCAUACGAAGCACAAGUUGAACAUAUAUUGGAAUUUUUGGGUGAACAUGCAAAGAACAUAGUCUUCCAAGGAGUUCACAUGGUUUACAACUCUCAGGGCCAGCCAUCGGGCGAGGCUUUCAUCCAGAUGGACAGCGAAAGUUCUGCUUAUGCCUGCGCAUCGCAGCGUCACCAUCGUUAUAUGAUAUUUGGCAAGAAGCAACGUUACAUCGAAGUAUUUCAGUGCAGUGGCGAAGACAUGAAUCUGGUAUUGACAGGCGCUGUCGCACCACCACCUGCCAAAGCUCUACUAUCUCCCGUAAUCGGAUGUUAGUGUGGUUAGCAGUGGUAAAGGAGCAGACUAUCUGAACGGCGAAGAUUAUUGGUGUGGAGGUACAAUGAUGCCGCCUCCGUUUGGACCAGGUGCGAUAUAUCCUGCGCAAGCGGCAAUGUUACCUCGGGGGCCACCGCAAUUUGCACCCGCAUAUCCACCUAUAUUCUAUUGGCCAUACCCGUCACCAC